GCAUCACUGAAGACCCGACACCAGCGGACUCGGACGUUCGCUGUCCUCGGCAGGACUGACCAGGUGUUGUGUUAUGCAAACUUUACUGCCAUCCGAUGACACUGUCCAUCCCGUCGAUGAGAAUGACCCUGUCUUUGUCGGAGGAGCACACUUGCCCGUCUCCAAACGCAGAGACGCAGGGGCGAGACAAUAACGCCCAGAAGUUAUUGAAAUGAAUUGUCAUGAAAAGAGCUGGAACAAGAAGAGGAGCGCUCACAGCAGAGCGAAGGAGGGGUGGGGGGCGGUGACAGAAUGCGAGGUGAAAAAGACAAGUGAAAGAGGUCCAGACUUGAAGGAGGCACGCAAGCACAGAGACCAGAGACACACACAUAAUGGCACCUAGAGGCUGUCUGCGGUCUACCACCAUCCCACCACACACACAUACACACAAACACACAUGCACGCCAGUUACGGUAAGAAUCGGAGAACACUGAAGGGAGAUGUGAGGAGAAACAAACAAAAAAAAAAGUUUUCUUCCCUAAGUAGAGACACAUUGACAGCUUAUAUUCCAAAAUGCUACAAAACUCAGUAAUUUAAAAAGCUUUGCAGA
Long non-coding RNA from Archocentrus centrarchus (flier cichlid), 589 nucleotides. RefSeq lists it as uncharacterized. The record is from RefSeq and is a predicted model, not a curated record. NCBI's taxonomy places the organism in Eukaryota, Metazoa, Chordata, Actinopteri, Cichliformes, Cichlidae. The transcript has 3 exons.